RNAcentral lists this ribosomal RNA (336 nucleotides) under Triticum aestivum (bread wheat). RNAcentral's name for it is "partial small subunit ribosomal RNA". The record is from RNAcentral. Lineage: Eukaryota; Viridiplantae; Streptophyta; Magnoliopsida; Poales; Poaceae.
AUGCAUUUAAGUAACAAUAAAAUGAGGUUUAGUUUCGGUUGUUGUACACUUGGUGUCCUCCGUUACUCUCAUCUAGUUUGCUACUGCAUCCAUCAUCCAUGUUAUAAUUUUCAAAGUAAGAUCAUAAUGAUAGUGCACUUUUUUGUCAGCCUUCAAGAUGCUCAAGGACCAGGACAACAUGUAGUUUCAGAAUUACAGAUUGUGGUCAGCUAUAGGAUGUUUCUGGGACAAUGUUUUAGCUACGAGAGAGCAACAACAUCACAUCAUGAGAGAGAGGAUGCAGUAUCAACAAUUCAGGAGAAAGAUCAGAGCAGAGUGGAAGUAAAUAUGUUUUGA